RNAcentral lists this long non-coding RNA (1364 nucleotides) under Homo sapiens (human). RNAcentral's name for it is "non-protein coding lnc-KCNV2-7:1". Lineage: Eukaryota; Metazoa; Chordata; Mammalia; Primates; Hominidae. The record is from RNAcentral.
GUGUAAGUCCCUAAACCAGCCUUAAAAAGGAAGCCUUUUCGAAGUACACCUAACCGACAACUCCAAGAUGCUGAUUUGCCACAAGCACCCCUGCAAUAUUCAAGGAUCACUAUUGUAAUCCCAAGUCUCAAAUGUGUUAGAGACAAGAAAGAGAAGGUCAAGAACCAUUAGUAUAAAUAGCAUAAAAAUCAAACACAUCUCAGAUCCAAAGAAUGAUAUGUAAAAAUGAAGAGCCAGUCAGGUUUAAGUAUAGACACAGACAUAGCCUAUGUGGUAAGUUAAAACAACAAUGGUAGGUUAAAACAACAACAAAAAAACAGCAUAGCUAUGUGGCCACAAAAUACUAAGUAAAUAUUUCACUGUCACAAACUAGUAACUGACAGGGCAAGAUUCCAUCUCAACUUUUCACAACAAAGCCCAGAUUCUUUUCUUUUUUUCUUUUUCCUUUUUUUUUUUUUUGAGACGGAGUCUCACUCUGUCGCCCAGGCUGGAGUGCAGUGGUGCGAUCUUGACUCACUACAAGCUCCGCCUACCGGGUUCACGCCAUUCUCCUGCCUUAGCCUCCCGAGUAGCUGGGACUACAGGUGCCCACCACCACACCCGGCUAAUUUUUUCUUUUUUUCUUUUUUUUUUUUAGUAGAGACGGGGUUUCACCAUGUUAGCAAGGAUGGUCUCGAUCUCCUGACCUCGUGAUCCGCCCGCCUCGGCCUCCCAGAGUGCUGGGAUUACAGGCAGUGAGCCACCGCACCGGGCCAAAGCCCAAAUUCUUUUCACAGCCCGAUACUAGCUCCAGAGUUCUUCUCUGACAUGGCUUUACAUUUUCAGAAAUCUGUAUCUAUUGUGAUUGAGAGACAGUUGCUAUCCUUUACAAUUGAUGAUGCUGGUGAGAUGUUAUCAUCUAUGCAUAUAAACAGAGUACAACUGACAAAAGUAUUAGGAGGUGAUCCUUGUCUUUAAAUGAGCAGGAUAAGAUAGAUGACCUUCACAGGGCUCUUCUAGCAUUCUAACAUUCUAUGAGUAAUUUAUCUUAUUAAGAUGUUUGGGAACAGAUAAAAAAUCUCUGGCUAUUUCUUUUCUAACUUUCUGAAAUCUGUUCAAGAUAAUAACUCCUACCCCAUCACUAUUUUACAAAAAUUUAAAUAUAGUAUCUACAUUAAUGUAAUUCUCACAAAUCUGUGAUGUUGAUUAUUUUAUACAGAUGAGAGUACUGAAAUUCAAAAAGAUUGUGGUGCUUUGGCCCAAAGCACCAAAUUACUAAACAGCAGAGCAAUUCUAAAGGCAAAUCUGUCCCACUCACAGCUCAGGACAUUUACCCUUAUAUAUAUUAGAUGCUGCCAUAAUAACAGCAUCCAUUUGUACAUCAC